AGAAGGAUCGGUGAUGGCCACCUCUCUACUUUUCCAUGCCAGCAGGAUGCCGCCGCGGGUCCCAGUCGCUGGGAGGUAUACAUAGUCGUCGAAUUCCGAGCCUAGGGUCUCGAGGACAAUCGACGAGCAGAUCAAUUCCAUCUUUGUUUCUUGAAAGCAAGCGAUCGAGGCACUAGUGGUUACAAUCAGUGAUCUAAUGGCGAGACGUUGGGCUUCGGUCCGCGCACGUUCCACACA
RNAcentral lists this long non-coding RNA (237 nucleotides) under Hordeum vulgare. Its description in RNAcentral is "long non-coding RNA (HVUL_LNC008843)". Lineage: Eukaryota; Viridiplantae; Streptophyta; Magnoliopsida; Poales; Poaceae. The record is from RNAcentral.